AGAGUUUGAUCCUGGCUCAGAUUGAACGCUGGCGGCAUGCCUAACACAUGCAAGUCGAACGGAAACGAUGGGAGCUUGCUCCCAGGCGUCGAGUGGCGGACGGGUGAGUAAUACUUAGGAAUCUGCCCAUUAGUGGGGGACAACUCGGGGAAACUCGAGCUAAUACCGCAUACGCCCUACGGGGGAAAGCGGGGGAUCUUCGGACCUCGCGCUAAUGGAUGAGCCUAAGUCGGAUUAGCUAGUUGGUGAGGUAAAAGCUCACCAAGGCGACGAUCCGUAGCUGGUCUGAGAGGACGAUCAGCCACACUGGGACUGAGACACGGCCCAGACUCCUACGGGAGGCAGCAGUGGGGAAUAUUGGACAAUGGGGGCAACCCUGAUCCAGCAAUGCCGCGUGUGUGAAGAAGGCCUGCGGGUUGUAAAGCACUUUCAGUAGAGAAGAAAAGCUUAGGCUUAAUACCCCUGAGUCUUGACGUAACCUACAGAAGAAGCUCCGGCUAACUCCGUGCCAGCAGCCGCGGUAAUACGGAGGGAGCGAGCGUUAAUCGGAAUUACUGGGCGUAAAGCGCGCGUAGGCGGCUUUGUAAGUCGGAUGUGAAAGCCCUGGGCUUAACCUGGGAAUGGCAUUCGAUACUGCAGAGCUAGAGUAUGGUAGAGGGAAGUGGAAUUUCCGGUGUAGCGGUGAAAUGCGUAGAUAUCGGAAGGAACACCAGUGGCGAAGGCGACUUCCUGGGCCAAUACUGACGCUAAGGUGCGAAAGCGUGGGGAGCAAACAGGAUUAGAUACCCUGGUAGUCCACGCCGUAAACGAUGAGAACUAGAUGUCGGGAGAAUUUGUCUUUCGGUGUCGCAGC
RNAcentral lists this ribosomal RNA (853 nucleotides) under uncultured deep-sea bacterium. RNAcentral's name for it is "bacterial SSU rRNA". It matches the Rfam family "Bacterial small subunit ribosomal RNA", at positions 8 to 852 of the family's 1533-position model. The record is from RNAcentral.